GGGGGUGUGGCUCAGUUGGUAGAGCGCUUGUCUAGCAUGCAUGGAGCCCUGGGUUUGAGUCCCAGCACUUCAU
This 73-nucleotide transfer RNA is filed under the name Mus musculus (house mouse). It matches the Rfam family "tRNA". Rfam says of the family: Transfer RNA (tRNA) molecules are approximately 80 nucleotides in length. Their secondary structure includes four short double-helical elements and three loops (D, anti-codon, and T loops). Further hydrogen bonds mediate the characteristic L-shaped molecular structure. tRNAs have two regions of fundamental functional importance: the anti-codon, which is responsible for specific mRNA codon recognition, and the 3' end, to which the tRNAs corresponding amino acid is attached (by aminoacyl-tRNA synthetases). tRNAs cope with the degeneracy of the genetic code in two manners: having more than one tRNA (with a specific anti-codon) for a particular amino acid; and 'wobble' base-pairing, i.e. permitting non-standard base-pairing at the 3rd anti-codon position. The record is from Rfam by way of RNAcentral. Lineage: Eukaryota; Metazoa; Chordata; Mammalia; Rodentia; Muridae.